GCCUGAUGCAGCAACGCCGCGUGAGGGACGACGGCCUUCGGGUUGUAAACCUCUUUUAGCAGGGAAGAAGCGAAAGUGACGGUACCUGCAGAAAAAGCGCCGGCUAACUACGUGCCAGCAGCCGCGGUAAUACGUAGGGCGCAAGCGUUAUCCGGAAUUAUUGGGCGUAAAGAGCUCGUAGGCGGUCUGUCGCGUCUGCUGUGAAAACCCGAGGCUCAACCUCGGGCCUGCAGUGGGUACGGGCAGACUAGAGUGCGGUAGGGGAGAUUGGAAUUCCUGGUGUAGCGGUGGAAUGCGCAGAUAUCAGGAGGAACACCGAUGGCGAAGGCAGAUCUCUGGGCCGUAACUGACGCUGAGGAGCGAAAGGGUGGGGAGCAAACAGGCUUAGAUACCCUGGUAGUCCACCCCGUAAACGUUGGGAACUAGUUGU
Molecule: ribosomal RNA, 430 nt
Filed under: Microbacterium sp.
Lineage: Bacteria; Bacillati; Actinomycetota; Actinomycetes; Micrococcales; Microbacteriaceae
Description: bacterial SSU rRNA
Rfam family: Bacterial small subunit ribosomal RNA
Source: RNAcentral